CUACUCCCCAGCCUCUCCACCUGCUCAGUGGCCCGGGCUGCUGGCCUGGGUGUGUGAUACACAACAGGCUGCCUGGCUUUUCAGCUUCUGGUUGUGAGCGCUGACACCCGGGGGAGGCCACCUUGGACCCGCCCCAGCCAAACAACAGGAUGACUUCUGCUUCAUGAGUGACCCCAGGUGAGACCACCAGCCGAACCCAGCGCGAUCUGCUCACCCCAGAUAGUUGUUGUAAGCCGCGCCGCUGGGGGCUGGCUGCUUGCCCAGCAGUCGGUAUCCGGCACGCGGAGCCAGCAGGAACUUUCUCCGGGUCACCGUGCAGCUUCUUGUAAGGGCCGAAGCUGGCUCCGCUGACUCUGGUGGCCACCACCUCUCCUGGGCGCCUCCCAGCAUCCCUGUUUGCAUUGCCGUGGAUUGGCAGCCUUUCUCCACAUCCCUGGGAUCACACAUAUUGCCUGGUUUCAUCACAGAUGGCGUGGCUGUUUCCCAAUUUUGUGUAUGUUUGGGGGGGGUGCUGGUGAUUUCCUAGAGGAGGCAGGCACACGUUUGCUCUCCCGUUUACAGACAUUAGAAUAAUAAAAAUUUAAAAGCUAAUAUGGGGGACUCACACA
Long non-coding RNA from Suricata suricatta (meerkat), 608 nucleotides. RefSeq lists it as uncharacterized. The record is from RefSeq and is a predicted model, not a curated record. Lineage: Eukaryota; Metazoa; Chordata; Mammalia; Carnivora; Herpestidae. The transcript is spliced from 3 exons.